RNAcentral lists this small RNA (136 nucleotides) under Algibacter lectus. RNAcentral's name for it is "Flavo-1 RNA". It matches the Rfam family "Flavo-1 RNA". The record is from RNAcentral. Lineage: Bacteria; Pseudomonadati; Bacteroidota; Flavobacteriia; Flavobacteriales; Flavobacteriaceae.
UUUUAGCCCUGAUAGCAGCGGCAUCCUUUUUUGUGUUAUUUAAUAGGACUAAACGUAGGUUGAAGAAAAGGGUUUUAGAUUUAGAACAACCUUAAGGUUAUCUACAAAAAAGAUAUAGCGAAUAGCAGGAAAUAGC